Ictalurus punctatus (channel catfish) is the source of this 306-nucleotide long non-coding RNA. RefSeq lists it as uncharacterized. NCBI's taxonomy places the organism in Eukaryota, Metazoa, Chordata, Actinopteri, Siluriformes, Ictaluridae. The record is from RefSeq and is a predicted model, not a curated record. The transcript is spliced from 2 exons.
CGCGCGUGCUCAAAAAGCUACUUUCCCCUGAAAAGAGUUGGCAACUCUGUAGCUCAGGGUUUAUCUGGAGGGAGAAGAGUUCACGUGCGUGUUGUUGAUGGGGAGAAAAGUGCACUCGAGCAGUACUCACUUGAGGUCCCUCUUGGCGGUGCGCGCAGCCACGUACAAGUACCUCCAGCCACCGGAGCCUAGGUACAGGCCGAGUCCAGCGGCCACGCUCCACGACCACGGCGCGCCGAGCAGCCGGAGCAGGCCGAGAGAGCCGAGAGACACGGCAUAGCGCAUCCUACCGAGUACAAACACACA